AGAGACUGCAAGCGUUAUUCGGAUUCACUGGGCGUAAAGGGUGCGCAGGCGGCCCUGUGUGUGAGGCGUGAAAGCCUGGAGCUUAACUCCAGAAUUGCACCUCAAACUACAGGGCUAGAGCAUUGGAGAGGGUAGCAGAAUUCAUGGUGUAGCAGUGAAAUGCGUAGAUAUCAUGAGGAAUACCAGAGGCGAAGGCGGCUACCUGGACAAUUGCUGACGCUCAGGCACGAAAGCGUGGGGAGCAAAAGGGAUUAGAUACCCCUGUAGUCCACGCCCUAAACGGUGCACACUAGGUCUUGGCGGAUUCGACCCCGCCAGGGCCCCAGCUAACGCGUUAAGUGUGCCGCCUGAGGACUACGGCCGCAAGGCUAAA
Molecule: ribosomal RNA, 373 nt
Filed under: uncultured bacterium
Lineage: Bacteria
Description: bacterial SSU rRNA
Rfam family: Bacterial small subunit ribosomal RNA
Source: RNAcentral